AAUUUUGGACAAUGGGGGAAACCCUGAUCCAGCCAUCCCGCGUGUAUGAUGAAGGCCUUCGGGUUGUAAAGCACUUUUGGCCGAGAAGAAAAGGUACGCCCCCAUACGGGAAACCGCUGACGGCAUCUGCAGAAUAAGCACCGGCUAACUACGUGCGUGCACCCUCGGUAAUACGUAGGGUUCAAGCGUUAAUCGGAAUUACUGGGCGUAAUGCGUGUGUAGGCGGUUCGGAAAGAAAGAUGUGAACUCCCAGGGCUCGACCUUAGAACUGCAUUUUUAACUGCCGGGCUAGAGUAUGUCAGAGGGAGGUAGAAUUCCACGUGUAGCAGUGAAAUGCGUAGAUAUGUAGAGGAAUACCGAUGGCGAAGGCAGCCCCCUGGGAUAAUACUGACGCUCAGGCACGAGAGCGUGGGGAGCAAACAGG
Molecule: ribosomal RNA, 424 nt
Filed under: uncultured bacterium
Lineage: Bacteria
Description: partial 16S ribosomal RNA
Rfam family: Bacterial small subunit ribosomal RNA
Source: RNAcentral